Molecule: long non-coding RNA, 1072 nt
Filed under: Sarcophilus harrisii (Tasmanian devil)
Lineage: Eukaryota; Metazoa; Chordata; Mammalia; Dasyuromorphia; Dasyuridae
Description: lncRNA (ENSSHAG00000021479.1)
Source: RNAcentral
AUCUAGAGGGUGAAUGUGAAAGAUUGUUGUUCUGACAAACCUAGAGUACAGCUUUCUUAUUGGCUCUUAAUUCUGGAAAACAGAGUGACUCCUAAUAUCUUGACAUGUUUAUAUUUAUAUGUACACACAUAUCUUGGAAGGCAUCAUCUGUACUCACAUAGCACAUAAACCCUGUAAAAGUUUCAUCUAUGAAGAUUAUAUGCCUGAGAGAAAAGGGUAGAGUCUUAGAGAUCUAAACAUUUAAAGAGAUGGUUCUAAUAGGCAAAUUCACUGUCAACAACUUUUUCUUUAUUUCUUAUAAUCUGAGUAAAAUUUAAGAAAAAUCAAAUAGGUAUUUUGGCUGUUUGGUACCUGUUCUCACAAGACUGAUUUACUACAGAUACUCAUAGAACAUAGAAGUUGAUCUUCUUCACAAGAAGUCUGGCAUGACGAAAGUGUGAUCUAAAAGAAAAGAACUAAAUGAAGAAAGUAAAAAGUUCCAACCCUUUCCAGAUACUCAAAGUAAUAGGAACAGUCUUUCCUCCACUCCUUCUGUUCCCCACCCAAACAAUGCUUCUCACGAAAUAAACAUGUGACAAACAUCACAGAAGACACAUAACCAGAAUUACAAGGCUAUCAACUCUAGGAAAUGAAAUUGUAAGAGAAUCCAAGAUAUAAUAUCCAAGUUUCAGAACACAACUGGAGUUCCUUGAGACAGUAUUAUACCCAGAUAUUGUUGUGACUCCCAGACAACACUUCCUGGCAUUGAAUUACACUGGAUCAGGAACUGUUUUGUUCCCAAAGAUACCACAAUUUACUCCAGGAACAUUGACUAUUAUUCUGCUCUUGGAGGGCAAGGACUGUUUCUUUGUAAUUAUAUCAAGUUGUGAUUGUAUCAAGUAUCUUUCCACUGGACUCGGAUGGUUCUAGAGGAGAGAGUGAAGCUGAUGACUGCACAGCCCUCUCCAAUUCACUUGCAUAUCAUGGCAUCACCUUCCUGAUAUCAUGUCUUUGAGAACAAGGGACAAACAACAGCAACCCAACUACUCAGCCCAGCACCAGGCACAUGACAGGUACAUACUAAUACUCAUUU